This 22-nucleotide non-coding RNA is filed under the name Mus musculus (house mouse). The record is from RNAcentral. Lineage: Eukaryota; Metazoa; Chordata; Mammalia; Rodentia; Muridae.
UGUGAUCCAUCCAAUAGCUGAC